This 80-nucleotide transfer RNA is filed under the name Selaginella moellendorffii. It matches the Rfam family "tRNA". Rfam says of the family: Transfer RNA (tRNA) molecules are approximately 80 nucleotides in length. Their secondary structure includes four short double-helical elements and three loops (D, anti-codon, and T loops). Lineage: Eukaryota; Viridiplantae; Streptophyta; Lycopodiopsida; Selaginellales; Selaginellaceae. The record is from Rfam by way of RNAcentral.
GGACGUGCCGGAGUGGUUAUCGGGCAUGACUAGAAAUCAUGUGGGCUUCACCCGCGCAGGUUCGAAUUCUGCAUAGUUCA